UGCUAAUUACACUGCCUUCUUGGUACCACU
This 30-nucleotide non-coding RNA is filed under the name Mus musculus (house mouse). Lineage: Eukaryota; Metazoa; Chordata; Mammalia; Rodentia; Muridae. The record is from RNAcentral.